UCUAUGGUAACGUGUUUGGCAUCAUGCUGAGGACAUGAAGAACCACUUAUUGAGUGUGCUCUCAUAGGGUCCCCGCGUAAUUAGUUGUUUUUUUAAAAUGCCACAAAAAAGUAAUUGUUGGGUAUAAAAUGAUAAUUGCUUCAAGAAAACAGGAUCUUCUACUGUUUAUUGUUUAGUGUUCAAUGUUUAGCCUUUUGUUCAAAUCUUAAACAAAUUAAACCAGGGAUGGCCACAGAAAAAGCUCUGAGAAAGCCAAUUAAUACUGCGGGUAAACUGUCCUUAGAAACAUCCUGCCAUGAUUUAUGCUAUUGAAUUAAAAAUGGAAGAGGCGGAAAGGAGAAUGAGAGACAGAAAUAAACGAAGCAGAAACUAAACUCAGAAAAGGAACAGAUAAGAACAGCUAAGAUCACAUUUCAAAUAUCCGAUGGACAACAGAAGAGGAAAAAGAAUUGAUUUUUAUUUUUAUUUGUUUGCUUUCCUGUGCAUAAUAAGACCUUUAAUCGACUACAAGAAAUUGUGGAUAGUCUUUAAAAAAUAUUGACAUAGCAGACCACCCCAUCUUCAAAUAAUGUGUUCAAAAUCAAAAAAAGAUUAUGUCAUGGUUGUAUACUGUCAACCUACUUAUUUAAUUUAUGUGCUGAAUAAAAUGGAACUCACAAAAUA
Long non-coding RNA from Pantherophis guttatus, 663 nucleotides. RefSeq lists it as uncharacterized. Lineage: Eukaryota; Metazoa; Chordata; Lepidosauria; Squamata; Colubridae. The record is from RefSeq and is a predicted model, not a curated record.